This 484-nucleotide unclassified non-coding RNA is filed under the name Trichosanthes papuana. RNAcentral describes it as "sequence contains ITS1, 5.8S rRNA gene, ITS2". The record is from RNAcentral. Lineage: Eukaryota; Viridiplantae; Streptophyta; Magnoliopsida; Cucurbitales; Cucurbitaceae.
CGAACCCGAGUGGGUGUUGCGUGGGGGGGCAGCGAUGCGUGACGCCCAGGCAGACGUGCCCUCGGCCAGAAGGCUCCGGGCGCAACUUGCGUUCAAAGACUCGGUGGUUCGCGGGAUCCUGCAAUUCACACCAAGUAUCGCAUUUCGCUACGUUCUUCAUCGAUGCGAGAGCCGAGAUAUCCGUUGCCGAAAGUCGUUGUGAAUAAUACGACAAGAAUGCUCCGCUCCCCGCACGCCGAGUCGGGGCGGGGGGCGGGAUAAUUCGUUUGAGUUCCUUGGCGCGACCUGCGCCGGGGUUUGGUUUAGGCACCGAGAGGGGGGGCAAGCAAGAAGAUGCAUCCCCUCCGGCACAGAAGGUUUGUAAACGCGUUCGCGGGUCGUUUGAUGUUUAGGCAUCGACAAUGAUCCUUCCGCAGGUUCACCUACGGAAACCUUGUUACGACUUCUCCUUCCUCUAAAUGAUAAGGUUCAGUGGACUUCUCGC